CGUGUAGGCGGCCUUUUAAGUCAGACGUGAAAUCCAUGGGCUUAACCCAUGAAUUGCGUUUGAAACUGGAGGGCCUGAGGAUCGGAGAGGGCAGUGGAAUUCCCAGUGUAGCGGUGAAAUGCGUAGAUAUUGGGAGGAACACCAGUGGCGAAGGCGACUGCCUGGACGACACCUGACGCUGAGGCGCGAAAGCUAGGGGAGCAAACGGGAUUAGAUACCCCGGUAGUCCUAGCCGUAAACGAUGGGUACUAGGUGUGGGAGGUAUCGACCCCUUCCGUGCCGCAGUUAACACAAUAAGUACCCCGCCUGGGGAGUACGGCCGCAAGGUUGAA
This 332-nucleotide ribosomal RNA is filed under the name uncultured bacterium. RNAcentral's name for it is "bacterial SSU rRNA". It matches the Rfam family "Bacterial small subunit ribosomal RNA", at positions 568 to 898 of the family's 1533-position model. The record is from RNAcentral.